This 253-nucleotide ribosomal RNA is filed under the name uncultured bacterium. Its description in RNAcentral is "partial 16S ribosomal RNA". It matches the Rfam family "Bacterial small subunit ribosomal RNA", at positions 524 to 776 of the family's 1533-position model. The record is from RNAcentral.
UACAGAGGUCUCAAGCGUUGUUCGGAUUCAUUGGGCGUAAAGGGUGCGCAGGCGGUAUGUUAAGUCAACUGUUAAAUCUCCCAGCCUAACUGGGAAUCAGCGGUAGAUACUGGCAUGCUAGAGGGUGGAAGAGAGAAGUGGAAUUCUUGGAGUAGCGGUAAAAUGCGUAGAUCUCAAGAGGAACACCGAUGGCGAAGGCAGCUUCUUGGUCCACAUCUGACGCUCAUGCACGAAAGCGUGGGGAUCAAACAGG